UACUUGCCGGCGACCGGCGCACGGGUGCGUAACGCGUAUGCAACUUACCAUUAACUGGAGGAUAGCCCCUCGAAAGAGGGAUUAAUACUCCAUAGUAUUAUGAAAAGGCAUCUUUUUAUAAUUAAAGCUCCGGCGGUUAAUGAUGGGCAUGCGUGACAUUAGCUAGUUGGUGAGGUAACGGCUCACCAAGGCAACGAUGUCUAGGGGAUCUGAGAGGACUAACCCCCACACUGGUACUGAGACACGGACCAGACUCCUACGGGAGGCAGCAGUAAGGAAUAUUGGUCAAUGGAGGCAACUCUGAACCAGCCAUGCCGCGUGAAGGAUGAAGGCCCUAUGGGUCGUAAACUUCUUUUGUACGGGAAAAAACCCUUUUACGUGUAAGAGGUUGAUGGUACCGUAAGAAUAAGGAUCGGCUAACUCCGUGCCAGCAGCCGCGGUAAUACGGAGGAUCCAAGCGUUAUCCGGAUUCAUUGGGUUUAAAGGGUGCGUAGGCGGCUUAUUAAGUCAGCGGUGAAAGCCUGGAGCUUAACUCCAGAACUGCCAUUGAUACUGAUGAGCUUGAGUACACUUGAAGUGGGCGGAAUGUGUCGUGUAGCGGUGAAAUGCUUAGAUAUGACACAGAACACCGAUUGCGAAGGCAGCUCACUAAAUUGUAACUGACGCUGAUGGACGAAAGCGUGGGUAGCGAACAGGAUUAGAUACCCUGGUAGUCCACGCCGUANACGAUGGAUACUAGCUGUUGGAAGCAAUUUCAGUGGCUAAGCGAAAGUGAUAAGUAUCCCACCUGGGGAGUACGUUCGCAAGAAAUGAACUCAAAGGAAUUGA
This 828-nucleotide ribosomal RNA is filed under the name uncultured bacterium. RNAcentral's name for it is "bacterial SSU rRNA". It matches the Rfam family "Bacterial small subunit ribosomal RNA", at positions 81 to 913 of the family's 1533-position model. The record is from RNAcentral.